GGAUGAAUCUCCAUGGAAGGACCGAGUGAGGUUAUCUUUCCUUCUUACGGAUGUAUUGAACGGACCCGGAGGAGCUGCCAACCUGCUUGGAGGGACUGCUAACCUUUCAACACCCUCUGGUCACAUCCCAUCUCCCAGACUAGCAGCAUUCCCAAAGGGCCUGUACCACAGCAGGGCUCUCAGGCCCAGGAUGGAAUUGGUUGUAGAGCCUCCAGGUGCCAUGUCCUCCUCACCCAUACUCCUCUCCCCUCAUGGGCAGAAAGUGCUAACAGAAACACUGGCCCAUGGGGGCUGGGGGACUGGCACAGUAGAGACUGAAGAAAAGCUGGCCUGCUUCCGCUGUGGGAAGAGAGGCAGGGGUGCGCUUUGCAGAUUGGUGGGCCGGGUCAGCAAGCAUUUGCUGAAUAGUUCUGGGAGGAGGGAACACUCUGGCAAGGGCAAGGCUAAAGGAAGGCGCUGUCACCAAAUGCGUUUUGGCCUUGGCUCCCCAAGAAUCGGAGCCCAGUGAAUCCAGGGGAGGCCAGGCUAAGCUGGCUGGACUCGGUGUCAGUCCCAGAAUCCUUCUGCUCCUUCGUGGGUUCCUCAUGUGCCCUUCAGACAAGGUCCUGCACCCAGGGAGAAGGAAACCACGUUUGCAGCAGAGACUCAUCAAAUAGGCAGACACUAGAAGCUUGAUUCUGAGGCCAAUAUCAACAUACCUCAUGCGUGUCCCAUACACUCUGACCUUCCACAAGGGACAAAGAUGGGAGAACCAGCGCCCUCUAGCCCUCGGAGAGCUGGGAAACUGAGUCCUGCUAACAGAACCAAAACUCCUAGGAAGAGAUCUAAAAUCUUAGGAAAAUGAAAAGAGGGACUCUACGGGGGAUGGGAAACAGACUUGGUUCUCAUUGAUAGUCUGACAAGUGAAAUUUGAAAUAAAAUCACUAUAAGAAAAUAUUUCCAAAGAUUUAAAAAUCCCAAUUUGGGAUUGAGUGGAGAUGUCAGGCAAGGCUAA
This 994-nucleotide long non-coding RNA is filed under the name Cricetulus griseus (Chinese hamster). RNAcentral describes it as "lncRNA (ENSCGRG00015040051.1)". Lineage: Eukaryota; Metazoa; Chordata; Mammalia; Rodentia; Cricetidae. The record is from RNAcentral.